GUUCGCUACUGUUGCCCGCGUAACUUUGUUGCGCUAUAUAUUGCUGCCCGGCGUAUAAGUUAUUUUCUUGCGGCAUCUUUUGCAACGGCCUUACAACAGACGACCUCAGAUUCUGCGUUACUGUGGUAGAAGUCAUCAGCAAAGGUAUUGCAAAGUUGGGGACGAAGUCGACUGACUCUGGUUGAGGAAACUCUGUUCGUAACAGGGCAAAUCUUGCUGCAACUGUUGAUUCUGUUGCUGCCAAACCUCGUCGAAAUGUGGAAGCGAUGUGUGCUGUUUGCCCUGUUUCGGCUUAAGCUGUUUUAUACCGUACGAACAAAUGUUGGCGGAAUUACACGUCAUAUCGAGCAUGUUUCUGGGCACUUCUAGUUUUCACUUAGUGAAAUGUUCGCACUGAUGUGUGUGUGGAACAGCUUUGGAAUCUCGCGCAACACCAUUGCAACAAAGGAACACUUACGAUGUGCACCGAUAUAACUGCCGUAUGGGUAUCCGCGUAACCAUUGUCGAUGUAUGAACAGUCGCGAAAUAUUAUCACGUUAGCAUUUACCACUGUACUAACUGUUUGUGUUCACGUGUUACUCAUAUAUUCCUCGUUGCUACAGCUCGAAUCGAAGUAAACAGCAAGGCGACUUUAAGCAGAAUGAAACGGAAAACUACCUAGCUGGCUACCUAACCUAUAUCUUUUCUCUGUGUCUCCGUGUCCAUCACGUUUGUCCUAGGAUGGAGCGUAACUGUGAAAGAGGCAACCCUGCAAACUUUCCAUGGUUUAUGACUGGACCGUACGGACAGAAGUUGCGAACAACGGUAGUGGGGAAUGAGCUACCCUUAGUGUGUGAGUCUAUACCUCUCGUCGAAUCGAGGCAACGCAGGGGAGCUUUUCCUCUAUCAGCUGCCUUUUGAUUCACCACUAAGGCCACCCCCGAUAUACAUUCGACUUUCGAUCUGCCGUUCAUGCCGCAGUCCCCUCCCACUAUUAAUGCAAUUGACACAGAACCCAUAUUGGGUCCCCCUUCCAACCCGACCUCGCACAAUGUACGUUGCCAUGUGCGAACGUACGUCGUUUUCGUCGUAGGGUCGUUGCUCUGCUCCGUCAAUUUAUAAUCAGCUUACUGUCUCAAUAAGAGACUUUUAUUCUGAUCGUAUCUUUGUUGCAUUUUUUUCAUUAAAACGUACGGGAGCAGAACAAGAGACACGAGUGAAAAAAGAGGAGAUAGAGUGAGACAGUAUCAAGGAAGAUGUAUUCAUUAAACACGUGACGAACAAGGUGUCGAUAACGGGGCUGGGAUUACAAAAACAGCUCGAAAAUAAUUAUCCUUAACGAAAGAUAAUAGGCGGUCUUGCGGACAAACUAUAAAUAGUAACGCACGGCCGAAAAAGUGAUUAAUGAUACGUUCGGAGCGGUGACCAAACCUACGGGGAUUCCAAACGGCCGAUCAGGACGGACAUGCGUCUGCACGCAUCCGUACACGUCACACGUAUACGAUCGAAUGAGGCUGGAGGAACAUUUCGAUACGGAAUUUACGCCUGUGGAUGCGAAAUGCAUUCUGUGCUAGCUGACUGGAACGAUAAUAAUAAAUAAUAAUCCACGAAGGGCGACACUUGUGGGAAGGGACGAGAAUACUGGAAUUGUGAGAGCAUUUUCUAAUGAUUUUGGCUCUUGAUAUUAUUUUUGUAAUUCUGCAACAUCUCGUUGAUGCUUAAUAUAUGCUACGGGAAAAUAAUAAAACAAUUGUAUACUGCACGGACAAUUUCAUUAGUAAAAAUUAUCGUGGCUGAGGAAUAUUCUGCAAUAAUCGAUUUUCAUUUCAUAUGUGCUACUUAUAUUUCAGGAAUUAAAAUGUGCUAUUUAUACUUUAUAAACUUGUAAAAUAUCAUAUAUAUUAACUGACUAUAAAAAUAGAUUUAUCUUUCUAUUUCAGACUGACAGUUUGCACCAAACUGAAUUUAACACGCUAACAUCGUUUAACAAUUUCAACAACUAUGAAUAUAUAGACAUCUAUCCCAUUUUACCUGUGCAGGUAUAAGACAGUGUGUUGCGAAACCUAAGAACUAUACAGAAACGGCCUACAAAGGAUUCUCCAUACAUUCUUUUGUAUCGAAAAGUCGACUCGAAAGUCGACUCGAAAGUCUAGAGUAUAAUGAUGUGGAGUUGAAGACAUUUUCCCAGAAAUUUUCGCUCUUCGUCGAAUGUUCUCGUAUUGUAUGGAAUGGCGCAAAAUCUCACAAAGCGACAUAUGUGCUGUCCCUAUUCAAUUCUCCGCUGCACGAACGACGAUCAGAGUGGGGCACUUUCGGUAGCGCA
This is a long non-coding RNA of Odontomachus brunneus, 2302 nucleotides long. RefSeq lists it as uncharacterized. The transcript has 3 exons. Lineage: Eukaryota; Metazoa; Arthropoda; Insecta; Hymenoptera; Formicidae. The record is from RefSeq and is a predicted model, not a curated record.